Molecule: long non-coding RNA, 961 nt
Organism: Anarrhichthys ocellatus (wolf-eel)
Lineage: Eukaryota; Metazoa; Chordata; Actinopteri; Perciformes; Anarhichadidae
Exons: 2
Source: RefSeq, a predicted model, not a curated record
UGUGUGUGUGUGUGUGUGUGUGUGUGUGUGUGUGUGUGUGGUUGCUGCAGCCUACAGGAGGUAUCUACGCCAGACUGGAAGCGCAAUUUAAGAGUGUCGCUCAAGCCAGACAGAGUUCAGAGAAGACACCCAGAUCUAAAAUACGCUACGCUCAGAUCCGGACCACAUAAAGGACCCGAUGGGGAAAAGGCUGCUGAGCUGUCUAAGAGACGGACAUGAAAACUGACUGAGAGAGAACGAAGAGGAAGAGGAGAGAUCCUUCCGCGAGGGCUCAGUGCAACAACAUAAAUUCCCGCUGGCACCCCCUCCCACCCUUAAAGCACGGCCUCCACUCAUAUAACCCAGCUGUGGACUCCUCACCCUCGCAUUCUUUGUCAGCCCCCCUCCCUCCCUCUGGGCUUCACUCAGGUGACUUCGUUAUUGAUCACCAUCAGCCCGUCACUCAGCUAGCUCCUUAUUUGUGCAGCUGUGGUCAGUCCUGGAAAACAAACAAGAGGUCUGGAUCCAGCUCAGCACGAAGGGAAAUGCACUCGAUCAAACUUCUCCGUGUGUGUUUAGGAUUUAGUGUUGGAGCUCGGCCAGUUUCUGCAAAGGACAACAUGGGAAAUGCUAGUUUAUUAUUUUCUGUCGUCUUCCUGGAAGAUCUGAAUGAUUCGGAUCCAGUAAUCACCAACAGUGAUGCCGAAGGCCGGAUAGGGAAUGACACGCUCACCGCUUCGACGCGGCUUGUUUAGGUUAAGACGCCGAUCUAGACACAUACGAGUUGACUCUGCACUCGCAUUUAUGGUCUUCUGGGCAGAUGACAGACGCUGCGGUGUGUUGGGGGGGGGGGGGGGGGGGGGCUGGGCUCUCAACUAUCAACUUGGCCCAGUUUGACCGCAACCUGUCAGCCGACCCUUUGCUCCAACUUAGAUGAUGUCAAAGAAUUUAACGGGGGUGGAAUAAAAAAUGUAAAUGCUGA